RNAcentral lists this ribosomal RNA (331 nucleotides) under uncultured bacterium. RNAcentral's name for it is "bacterial SSU rRNA". It matches the Rfam family "Bacterial small subunit ribosomal RNA", at positions 568 to 898 of the family's 1533-position model. The record is from RNAcentral.
CACGCAGGCGGAUUGAUAAGUCAGGGGUGAAAUCCCGGGGCUCAACCUCGGAAUUGCCUUUGAUACUGUCUAUCUUGAGUUCGGGAGAGGUUGGCGGAAUUCCUAGUGUAGAGGUGAAAUUCGUAGAUAUUAGGAAGAACACCAGUGGCGAAGGCGGCCAACUGGCCCGAUACUGACGCUCAUGUGCGAAAGCGUGGGGAGCAAACAGGAUUAGAUACCCUGGUAGUCCACGCCGUAAACUAUGGAUGCUAGCCGUUGGGGAGCUUGCUCUUCAGUGGCGCAGCUAACGUCUUAAGCGUCCCGCCGUGGGGAGUACGGUCGCAAGAUUAAA